ACACUCACCACUUUGAUUCCAACAGCGAAGUCGAAGUCGUGGUCAGGAGUAAGACUGAGCUGGGUAGAGAUAGUAAGGUAAGACUUUGAAGCUGCUGUACUUUUAUCAAUUCAGUCUGAAAAACAGUCUCUGUGGUUAAGCCCAUUAAAUCUCUUGUGCUUUCAUAGCAGCUUGGCUAAAGGUUAUUACUAUGAAGGCUGGAGGGAGAGUGGGAGAUAACUUCGACCAGAGAGCUCUCACUGAAAUGGGUUCAAAGGAGUUACUCAUCUUCUAUUCCCUUUAGCGGAACCUCAUAAUCGGAUAGCACUUACUCUGUGCUUUGUUAAAAAUAUAGCAUACAGGCUGGGCACAGUGGCUCACGCUUGUAAUCCCAGCACUUUGGGAGGCCGAGGUGGGCAGAUCAUCUGAGGUCAGGAGUUCAAGACAAGCCUGACCAACAUGGAGAAACCCCGUCUCUACUAAAAAUACAAAAUUAGCCAGGCGUGACGGCACAUGCCUGUAAUCUCAGCUACUCUGGAGGCUGAGGCAGGAGAAUCGCUUGAACCUGGGAGGCGGAGGUUGCGGUGAGCCAAGAUCACACCAUUGCACUCCAGCCUGGACAACAAGAGCAAAACUCCGUCUAAAAAAAAAAAUGUAGCAUACAAUGAAACUACCAAUAUCAAGUGCUAGCAAGGAUUUGGAGCACUUGAUAUUUUUAAGAAUUUUCUUACAUUGCUGACGGGAAUGCAAAAUAGUACAGCCACUCUGGAAAACAAUUUGGCAGUGUGAAAGGAAAUUAAAUCUUGGGAUCCCAAACUCAUUAAGCCAAAGGGAAAAGUCAAGCUGGGAACUGGGUCACACAAACCUGCUUCCCCAUUUUUGGUUCCUAAAUAAGAUGGCUACAAGAUGAAAAGCUACAAGCUUCCCCCAUAUUUUGCCCACAAGGAAAUUCCUUGUGAGCUGCAAGAUCUUCUAAGGUGUUUCUGUUAAAAUUUCACCAUGGCAAUGUAAACUGAUCCUUAUCUUUAUGGAUGCUGUCACCCCUGGCCCACCAGACACAAAUGCAUAUCAGAUUGUUCUCCUGGCCCAUUUUCGUCUAUGUUAUCUUAUGGAAAAUGCAGAUUCCCAGCCGGGCGUGAUGGCUCACACCUGUAAUCCCAUCACUUUGGAAGGCGGAGGCUGGCGGAUCACGAGGUCAGGAGUUUGAGACCAGCUUGG
RNAcentral lists this long non-coding RNA (1197 nucleotides) under Homo sapiens (human). RNAcentral describes it as "non-protein coding lnc-IL31RA-4:1". Lineage: Eukaryota; Metazoa; Chordata; Mammalia; Primates; Hominidae. The record is from RNAcentral.